CAUCAAGUGCAUCUGCCUUUUUCCUUCCUCUAGAACGAGUUGUAAGGGCGUUAAAGUUUCUCCAGAAAGGAGGAGAUUCGUACAUGAGUAAGUGGGAAGCAAUUUCUAUUCCUCGUGGUACGCUUCAGACUACAUUUGUCCAUAAGGGGUUUGACGAAAUCUGCCAGC
This is a long non-coding RNA of Hibiscus syriacus, 168 nucleotides long. RefSeq lists it as uncharacterized. The record is from RefSeq and is a predicted model, not a curated record. NCBI's taxonomy places the organism in Eukaryota, Viridiplantae, Streptophyta, Magnoliopsida, Malvales, Malvaceae. The transcript has 3 exons.